Molecule: ribosomal RNA, 530 nt
Filed under: uncultured bacterium
Lineage: Bacteria
Description: bacterial SSU rRNA
Rfam family: Bacterial small subunit ribosomal RNA
Source: RNAcentral
CUUGACAUCCAGCGAACUUUCCAGAGAUGGAUUGGUGCCUUCGGGAACGCUGAGACAGGUGCUGCAUGGCUGUCGUCAGCUCGUGUUGUGAAAUGUUGGGUUAAGUCCCGNAACGAGCGCAACCCUUUAUCCUUUGUUGCCAGCGAUUCGGUCGGGAACUCAAAGGAGACUGCCGGUGAUAAACCGGAGGAAGGUGGGGAUGACGUCAAGUCAUCAUGGCCCUUACGAGUAGGGCUACACACGUGCUACAAUGGCGCAUACAAAGAGAAGCGACCUCGCGAGAGCAAGCGGACCUCAUAAAGUGCGUCGUAGUCCGGAUCGGAGUCUGCAACUCGACUCCGUGAAGUCGGAAUCGCUAGUAAUCGUGGAUCAGAAUGCCACGGUGAAUACGUUCCCGGGCCUUGUACACACCGCCCGUCACACCAUGGGAGUGGGUUGCAAAAGAAGUAGGUAGCUUAACCUUCGGGAGGGCGCUUACCACUUUGUGAUUCAUGACUGGGGUGAAGUCGUAACAAGGUAAGCGUAGCGAG